GGCUCAGCUUGGUGUGAGCAGCUAAAGUGAAGGAUGGUCAGAUCAUUCAGAGGUACGAUGAGAGGCACAGCUCUACCACAUCUGCUCUUAAUUAAAGUCCUCUCAGCUGGUCUGACUGUGAGUCCCAGCAGAUCUCAGUUCUUUAAAGGAGACUCUGUGUCUCUGAGCUGUGAGGAGGAGAAC
This is a long non-coding RNA of Fundulus heteroclitus (mummichog), 183 nucleotides long. RefSeq lists it as uncharacterized. NCBI's taxonomy places the organism in Eukaryota, Metazoa, Chordata, Actinopteri, Cyprinodontiformes, Fundulidae. The transcript is spliced from 3 exons. The record is from RefSeq and is a predicted model, not a curated record.